Bombyx mori (domestic silkworm) is the source of this 1291-nucleotide long non-coding RNA. RefSeq lists it as uncharacterized. The record is from RefSeq and is a predicted model, not a curated record. The transcript is spliced from 3 exons. Lineage: Eukaryota; Metazoa; Arthropoda; Insecta; Lepidoptera; Bombycidae.
CCGGCACAUUGCUAGCCGUCCCUCAGUGGAGAGGCGCGGGGAGGGAGGUUUCGGCUCGCGGCUGGGAGCGCGGCCGCCGGUCACUUCUCCAAGGACAAGAUAAGCGCACGCGCAUAAAUUGGCAACACAAAACCAAUUUUGGCCACGGGAAUUUGUAAUAAUCAUUAUAGUCAUUAUAGUAACUUCAUUAAGAGAACCAGUAAUUUCAUUAAAAGAAUCUACACACAAAACAUUGGUGACCCCGACGUGAUUAACGAUAUCGAAACGCUAAGCAAAGCGCACGGACCUCGGACCCGCUACGACCGCUGCGUGACCUUUACGCACGGAGCGUAUGAUCGCCGCUCGACGCAAUAGAAGGUUCCAGACAUCGCGCUAUGCAAUUUGGAGUGCAGACGGAAGGAUCUCAAUAAGGACGGCAUAUUAUCCAGCUUGAAGCCCGCCGGUCAGCGAAGUCUACGCGCCGCAGCCACAGCUUAGCCAGGAAGUGCCCAGUCCCUGCCUGUCUGGGAGGCCUCUCGCGUUAUCAGCAACCUGGAAAUUAGCUCGGCCAACUAUAAGGUGGCAUGGGAGCUUCUUUGCGAGAGGUAUAAUAACAUCAAGCAUCUCAAAAGCCAUCAUUUGCAUGCGUUAUGUAACAUGCAACAGCAACGCGAUUCAGCAAAGAGCUUAAGCCUCGCCUGCGUCUUCUUCUGUGGCGUGUGUUCUGUGCAACGGCAGCCAUCGCCUGUACGACUGUGAUUCGUUCCUUGGAAAGCCGGUUGACGAGCGUAUCGCCGAUGUGGUGCGGUUGAAGCUGUGCUUCAACUGUCUGCGCAAAGGUCACUCUUCUCGUCAAUGCAGGUUACGCCCUUGUUCUUCUUGUAAACAGCGACAUAAUUCUCUGUUGCACAAGGGUGGUUCUCAGGCUGUAAGUACUUCCGACACACACGCGAUCAUAACUACAGCAGAAAAUGAGGUUGAGGGGGAUCAUGAUGACAAUGUCAUGAGUAUGUCAGUCUCAGUGAACAACCAUGUAUUGCUUUCGACAGCGUUAAUAGAAGUUUAUAAUUCAAGCUCAAAUAAGCGUCUAAUAAUUCGAGCGCUGCUAGACAGCGGGAGUCAAACAUCUUUAAUAACCAGUAAGGUAAAAAAUGAAUUAAACUUGACUCCUCAGCCAUCCAGGCUCGCUAUUGUAGGUGUAGGUAAUCAGCCUUUAUCUAAUACUAUGCAACGUUGUUCUUUAAAGUUGAGGUCAAAGCAAACCGAUUUUGAAGCAGAUAUUUCUUGUUUUGUGCUACCUCAAAUUUCAAGU